ACAUUUCAGCACAUCCUAUUUGUGAAUAUGUGUUCAUCAGUAGCAGGAACAUCACAUAGGAAGAAGUGAGAUGUCGGUGCAAACUGAAAUGAUAGAGACAUAUACAUUUAAGUUGUCAUUGUUCCAUGAACAACAACCUAUCACACUUCAUUAGCAUCUACUUCAUGCUUGGAAUGUUUGCUCAGUCCUCAAAAUUGAAACUUUGGACUUCAUAAAUUGGGCAAAACAAUGAUAUUGAUGUCAGCCUAUUAGAUUAGGUAUUUAGUUUGUAUCGAAACUCAUGUCUUGUUCGCUAUUCCUCAUUCCUUUAAAUCUCCAAUCAUGAGCACAGGACUGUGAUUGAAAUUACCAUAGUGAUAUGUGUUUCUUACCAUAUGACAUAAGGAGGAGUGAGAUGUUGGCGAAGUUGAAAUAAUAGAGACACUAUAUGUGUAACAAGAGUGCCCAUUAUUGUUAGAAGAUGUGUUGGCUAUCCGUGGCAAGAACCAGCUAUUAGGAUCCUGUAAUUCUGUUAAUUUAGCGCCUAGCAUGUAUACAUGCUGCUCAUGCCAUCUUCACAUAGAAGUGCCACACGAAUGCU
This 580-nucleotide long non-coding RNA is filed under the name Sorghum bicolor (sorghum). Its description in RNAcentral is "long non-coding RNA (SBIC_LNC009573)". Lineage: Eukaryota; Viridiplantae; Streptophyta; Magnoliopsida; Poales; Poaceae. The record is from RNAcentral.